ACCAGGAUGGCCGAGUGGUGAAGGCGUUGGACUUAAGAUCCAAUGGGCACAUGCCCGCGUGGGUUCGAACCCCACUUCUGGUA
Molecule: non-coding RNA, 83 nt
Organism: Chlamydotis undulata (Houbara bustard)
Lineage: Eukaryota; Metazoa; Chordata; Aves; Otidiformes; Otididae
Source: Rfam